UUUCUGGAACAGAGGAUGUAACGAGUACGUUUGCUCCAAGUGGUGAUGAUGAAUAUCUUGAUGGUCAACGGAAGGUCAACGUCGAGACCCCGAUAACGUUGGAGGAAGAGUCGGCUGUUUCAGACUAUCUUAGUGGUGUAUCUAAUUAUCAGUCCAAAGUUACUGAUCCCACCAAAGAAGGUAAGAACUUUGACCUUUUAAGAUUGUGUUUUUCUUUAGUGAUUAUGAAUAUGUAAUAACUCUGUUACGUUGUGUUUGGUUUAGAAACUGGAGGAGUACCGGAGAUUGCUGAGUCUUUUGGUAAUAUGGAAGUGACUGAUGAGUCUCCUGAUCAGAAGCCAGGACAAUUUGAAAGAGACUUGUCGACGAGAAGCAAAGAAUUCAAAGAGUUUGAUCAGGACUUUGACUCUGUUCUCGGUAAGGAUUCGCCGGCGAAAUUUCCAGGUGAAUCAGGAGUUGUUUUCCCGGUGGGCUUUGGUGACGAGUCAGGAGCUGAGCUGGAAAAAGAUUUUCCGACGAGAAGUCAUGAUUUUGAUAUGAAGACUGAAACUGGAAUGGACACGAAUUCUCCAUCAAGAAGCCAUGAAUUUGAUCUGAAGACUGAAUCUGGAAACGACAAGAAUUCUCCGAUGGGCUUUGGUAGUGAAUCAGGAGCUGAGCUGGAAAAAGAAUUUGAUCAGAAGAACGAUUCUGGAAGAAACGAGUAUUCGCCGGAAUCUGACGGCGGUUUAGGAGCUCCGUUGGGAGGAAAUUUUCCGGUGAGAAGUCAUGAGUUGGAUCUGAAGAACGAAUCUGAUAUCGACAAGGAUGUGCCGACGGGAUUUGACGGAGAACCAGAUUUUCUGGCGAAGGGAAGACCUGGAUACGGUGAGGCAUCAGAAGAGGAUAAAUUUCCGGCGAGAAGUGAUGAUGUGGAAGUAGAGACUGAGCUGGGAAGAGACCCAAAGACGGAGACUCUUGAUCAAUUCUCACCGGAACUUUCUCAUCCUAAAGAAAGAGAUGAGUUUAAGGAGUCCAGAGAUGAUUUUGAGGAGACGAGAGAUGAGAAAACAGAGGAGCCAAAACAGAGCACUUACACAGAGAAGUUUGCUUCAAUGCUAGGUUACUCCGGAGAAAUUCCGGUGGGAGAUCAAACUCAAGUGGCGGGAACUGUUGAUGAGAAGUUGACUCCGGUCAAUGAGAAGGAUCAAGAAACAGAGUCUGCCGUGACGACGAAGUUACCUAUCUCCGGAGGUGGAAGUGGAGUAGAGGAGCAACGAGGGGAAGAUAAAAGUGUGUCGGGUAGAGAUUAUGUGGCGGAGAAACUGACAACUGAAGAAGAAGACAAAGCCUUUUCUGAUAUGGUUGCCGAGAAAC
Molecule: long non-coding RNA, 1356 nt
Filed under: Arabidopsis thaliana (thale cress)
Lineage: Eukaryota; Viridiplantae; Streptophyta; Magnoliopsida; Brassicales; Brassicaceae
Description: long non-coding RNA (ATHA_LNC000485)
Source: RNAcentral